UGCAAGUCGAACGGCAGCGCGGGGAGCUUGCUCCCUGGCGGCGAGUGGCGGACGGGUGAGUAAUGCGUAGGAAUCUACCUUGUAGUGGGGGAUAACCUGGGGAAACUCGGGCUAAUACCGCAUAAUCUCUUUGGAGCAAAGCGGGGGAUCUUCGGACCUCGUGCUAUAAGAUGAGCCUACGUCGGAUUAGCUUGUUGGUGGGGUAAUGGCCUACCAAGGCGACGAUCCGUAGCUGGUCUGAGAGGACGAUCAGCCACACUGGGACUGAGACACGGCCCAGACUCCUACGGGAGGCAGCAGUGGG
Molecule: ribosomal RNA, 304 nt
Filed under: Coxiella burnetii
Lineage: Bacteria; Pseudomonadati; Pseudomonadota; Gammaproteobacteria; Legionellales; Coxiellaceae
Description: bacterial SSU rRNA
Rfam family: Bacterial small subunit ribosomal RNA
Source: RNAcentral